This 651-nucleotide ribosomal RNA is filed under the name Staphylococcus aureus. RNAcentral describes it as "partial 23S ribosomal RNA". It matches the Rfam family "Bacterial large subunit ribosomal RNA", at positions 1349 to 1891 of the family's 2925-position model. The record is from RNAcentral. Lineage: Bacteria; Bacillati; Bacillota; Bacilli; Caryophanales; Staphylococcaceae.
GGGUUCCUGGGCCAGGUUAAUCCGCCCAGGGUGAGUCGGGACCUAAGGCGAGGCCGACAGGCGUAGUCGAUGGACAACGGGUUGAUAUUCCCGUACCCGUGUGAACGCGCCCCUGAUGAAUCACUGGUACUAACCAUCCUGAAGAUUCCUUUUUCCCUUCGGGGGAUUGGGGGUUGGAUGCAUGGGACCUUCGGUGGUAGUAGUCAAGCGAUGGGGUGACGCAGGAAGGUAGCUGGGCCGGCUGGUGGAAUAGCCGGUGUAAGCCUGUAGGGCGAGUGGUAGGCAAAUCCGCCACUCAUAUGGCCUGAGAGGUGAUGCGUAGCCGUUGUGGUGAAUUCAGUGAUCCUAUGCUGCCGAGAAAAGCCUCUAGCGAGCUUUCACAUGGCCCGUACCCCAAACCGACACAGGUGGUCAGGUAGAGAAUACUGAGGCGAUCGAGAUAACUGUGGUUAAGGAACUCGGCAAAAUGCCCCCGUAACUUCGGGAGAAGGGGGACCUUGUCUGGUGAUGAGUCUUGCACUCUGAGCUGGGUGGGGUCGCAGAGACCAGAGAGAAGCGACUGUUUACUAAAAACACAGGUCCGUGCGAAGUCGUAAGACGAUGUAUACGGACUGACGCCUGCCCGGUGCUGGAAGGUUAAGAGGAGUGAGA